This is an RNA transcript of Triplophysa dalaica, 4170 nucleotides long. It is a transcript of the gene named dynamin 1a, with no coding region annotated. The record is from RefSeq and is a predicted model, not a curated record. The transcript is spliced from 23 exons. Lineage: Eukaryota; Metazoa; Chordata; Actinopteri; Cypriniformes; Nemacheilidae.
GCGAAAAGCAGCUCAUCAUCUCAGAGGGACUGCAGAGACACACAGAGCCUCAGAACAAUCGAUGCAGAAAUAAAGCACCACAAAGGCGCAGCAUCACCUGAACGUCUCGCGCAGGGUGAUCGGGACCGUGUUUUUUCCGGGAAGAGCUCGAGCAGGUGCGGAUCGUCAGGAUGGGGAACCGCGGGAUGGAGGAUCUGAUUCCUCUGGUGAAUCGCAUGCAGGACGCGUUCUCGGCCAUCGGUCAGAACUCGAAUCUCGACCUGCCGCAGAUCGCCGUGGUGGGCGGACAGAGCGCCGGCAAGAGCUCCGUGCUCGAGAACUUCGUGGGAAAGGAUUUCCUCCCGCGGGGUUCUGGGAUCGUCACCCGUCGUCCUCUGGUUCUACAGCUCAUCAACUGUCCCACAGAAUAUGCAGAGUUCCUUCAUUGCAAAGGGAAGAAGUUCACAGAUUUCGAUGAGGUGCGGCAAGAAAUCGAGGCGGAGACGGAUCGCGCCACGGGCCAGAAUAAAGGCAUCUCGCCUGUGCCCAUAAACCUACGGGUGUGCUCUCCAAACGUGCUGAAUCUGACGUUGGUGGAUUUGCCAGGAAUGACCAAAGUUCCAGUGGGCGAUCAGCCGGCGGACAUCGAGCAACAGAUCAAAGAAAUGCUCAUGCAGUUUGUGACUAAAGACAACUGCCUUCUGCUGGCCGUCUCACCAGCCAACUCUGAUCUGGCCAACUCUGACGCCCUGAAGAUUGCCAAAGAAGUCGACCCGCAGGGUUUGCGUACUAUUGGUGUGAUCACCAAGCUUGAUCUGAUGGAUGAAGGCACAGACGCUCGCGACAUUUUGGAAAACAAGCUUCUGCCGCUACGGAGAGGUUACAUCGGUGUGGUGAACCGCAGUCAGAAAGACAUUGACGGGAAGAAGGACAUCCACGCUGCCAUGGCGGCCGAGCGGAAGUUUUUUCUCUCUCAUCCCGGUUACAGACACCUGGCCGAUCGCAUGGGGACGCCGUACCUGCAGAAAACACUCAAUCAGCAACUGACCAAUCACAUUCGAGACACGCUGCCCGGCCUGCGCGCUAAACUCCAGAGCCAGCUGCUGUCCAUCGAGAAAGAAGUGGAAGAGUACAAGAACUUCCGUCCAGAUGAUCCGUCCCGCAAGACCAAAGCCCUGCUGCAGAUGGUGCAGCAGUUCUCUGUGGACUUUGAUAAGCGUAUCGAGGGUUCUGGAGAUCAGAUCGACACGUAUGAGCUGUCUGGAGGAGCCCGAAUCAAUCGCAUCUUCCAUGAGCGCUUCCCCUUCGAGCUGGUGAAGAUGGAGUUCGAUGAGAAGGAGCUGCGUAAGGAGAUCAGCUACGCCAUCAAGAACAUUCACGGCAUCAGGACGGGCCUGUUCACCCCUGAUCUGGCCUUUGAGGCCAUAGUGAAAAAGCAGAUGCAAAAGCUAAACGGACCGUGCCUGAAAUGUAUAGAUAUGGUCGUGAGCGAACUCACCUCCACCAUUCACAAAUGUAGUGAGAAGCUGGCCCAGUAUCCCAUGCUGAGAGAAGAGAUGGAGAGGAUCGUCACGCUACACAUCCGGGAUCGUGACAGUCGCACUAAAGAUCAGGUGUUGCUGUUGAUUGAAAUCGAGCUGGCCUACAUGAACACAAACCAUGAAGACUUCAUCGGAUUUGCCAAUGCUCAGCAGAGGAGUAGUCAGACGAAUAAGAAGAAGGCGGCUGGUAAUCAGGAUGAAAUCAUGGUGAUCAGAAAGGGUUGGCUGACCAUUAACAACAUUGGCAUCAUGAAGGGCGGUGCUAAAGAGUACUGGUUUGUCAUGACAGCCGAAUCUCUGUCCUGGUACAAAGAUGAUGAGGAGAAAGAGAAGAAGUACAUGCUGCAGGUGGACAAUCUGAAGUUCAGAGAUGUUGAAAAGGGUUUCAUGUCCAGCAAACACAUCUUUGCUCUGUUCAACACCGAGCAGAGGAACGUGUAUAAGGAUUACCGGCAGCUGGAGUUGGCGUGUGAGAGUCAGGAGGAGGUGGACGGAUGGAAGGCUUCGUUCCUGCGUGCCGGCGUCUAUCCCGAGCGUGUUGUGGAGAAGGAGAAGAGUGAUGGCGGUGAGGAGAACGGUUCAGACAAUUUCAUGCACUCCAUGGACCCUCAGCUGGAGAGGCAGGUGGAGACCAUCCGUAACCUGGUGGACUCCUACAUGGCCAUCGUCAACAAAACCGUACGAGACCUGGUGCCCAAGACCAUCAUGCAUCUGAUGAUCAACAAUACGAAAGAGUUCAUCAACGCCGAGCUGUUGGCUCAGUUGUACUCGUGCGGAGAUCAAAACACGCUCAUGGAGGAGUCGGCAGAACAGGCUCAGCGUCGAGAUGAAAUGCUGCGGAUGUACUUUGCUCUGAAAGAAGCGCUGAACAUCAUCGGUGACAUCAGCACCUCCACCAUCUCCACUGCGCAGCCUCCGCCGGUGGACGACUCCUGGCUCCAGGUGCAGCGCUCCGGCUCGGGGGGACGCUCACCAGCCACCAGUCCCACCCCUCAGAGACGGGCUCCUCCGCCGGCACGCCCAGGUUCUCGCGGCUCCGCCCCGGGCCCUCCAGCUGCGGGUGGGCCACCGCUUCCAUCACGCCCAGGGUCGUCCCCGGACCCAUUCGGUGGGGCUCCCCCUCAGGUCCCCUCCCGGCCUAACCGCGCCCCGCCGAGCGUGCCCAGCCGACGACCCCCGGCCUCACCUACCCGACCCAACAGACCCACAGACUCCUCCUUCUUAGACUAUUAAGCCCCUCCCACAUGCGACAGACAGCUGGACAGACACGCCCAUAACACGCUGAAACUCCUCCCCUCCCUGCAGACUUCAUUUAAACACACACAUGCAGAAUGCCGCUGUACAGUUCAGACUCUAAAUAGCACAAUCUGAUCAUUAUUUCUACAGAUUCUCAAAUAAAAAAAGUUUUCUACAGUGAUUUUACCACAAGAACACUUGACCACGGUAAAACACCUCCAAACUGGGUUUCUUGUCUGGUUACUCAUUGAUAAAACAUAUGGAUCACAUAUUGAACCGACAGGAGGUGCUGACAAUUGCUCUGAUUUCUGUUGCCUGAUUUAUUUUCAUCGUCACGGUUUGUUUUUCUGAUGCAUUAUCUCUGUCAAGCGUCUUCAGAUAACUGCAUCGGAAUGAGUUCAGUUGUAUUUCUCUACAUUAUUUUGGGGCUCUUCUUUUCUGUUUGUUUUAUAUGUGUGUCGGCUGAAGUGCUCCUUGAGGUCACGGGCCAGAAGACCACACUCGACUCCCCUGAAGGUCGGCCGAACAAUGGCAGCACUUCUCGCCCCGAGAGCCCCAUAACCUCCUCAUAACACCUCCUCGUCCCUUCUCCACUUUCUUCUUCUUCUUUUUCACCCUGCAAAACAAACCCAUCAUCACAAGAGAAACCAGGAUCAGAGAGAUGGAGGCCUUUUAAAGCAUCUUCUCAUGACGUCAGACAGGUGGCGGUGAGACGUCUCUCUUUGGUUGAACCCUCCUCCAGCUUCGAGUUCAUCAAGAUGUCACAGCUCUCUUUACGGCUCAUUUUAAAGCGACAAACCACAACAUGAGAUGGUUUCUAGCGCAAUAUAGAAGUAGUGAUAAAAAUCCUUAUUGUCCAAAACAUGAUGAUUAUGUGAUCUGUUCACCUUGAGAAAUCAAACAUCCGUUCAGUAAAUCAAAGAGGCUGGAAUGAAUUAUAGAGUGCAAUAUAUUUUCAGAUCAGACAUGUUUACGUCACGUGUUUCCAAGUUUAAAAGAUAUUCAUGCUGUUUGGGGUGAACAGACGAUCUGAAGUUUUGUGUGUUUACAGAAAUUGUUCGUUUCAUUUCAUAGAAAGCUAAUAGACUAAUGCUCGAGACUGUCGAGACACUGCGAUCAGAAUGAGACACGCUUAUCACACACUAUAAACUGCUUACAGUUAAAGUAUACAAAGAAACAGCUCGUACAACAUAAACAAGCGUUUAUGUUUACGUCCGGUACACAUUCAAAAACAAUAUGAGCGCCUGUAGAUUAUUUCUGAUAGUUAUCAAAAGAAACCGAGAAGAACCGCUGCGUGUCUCGCCAACAUUUUUAAUUUAAACUACCACACCGGGGUUACCAUACGGUUUGUUUAAAUGCGUCAAACUACUGGACCCAUACGAAUUGUUUAUAAAAAGUUACAUAAAACAAAAUU